This 328-nucleotide ribosomal RNA is filed under the name uncultured eukaryote. RNAcentral describes it as "partial 18S ribosomal RNA". It matches the Rfam family "Eukaryotic small subunit ribosomal RNA", at positions 1470 to 1796 of the family's 1831-position model. The record is from RNAcentral.
CCCUUAGAUGUCCUGGGCUGCACGCGCGCUACACUGAUGCGCUCAACGAGUUUACGAUCUUGCCUGAAAUGGCUGGGUAAUCUUUUUAAAACGCAUCGUGAUGGGGAUAGAUUAUUGCAAUUAUUAAUCUUCAACGAGGAAUGCCUAGUAGGCGCAAGUCAUCAGCUUGCGUCGAUUACGUCCCUGCCCUUUGUACACACCGCCCGUCGCUCCUACCGAUUGGGUGUGCUGGUGAAAUGUUCGGAUCGGCCGUUUGUCGCGGUUUCCGCGUCAUGUGGCUGAGAAGUUCAUUAAACCCUCCCACCUAGAGGAAGGAGAAGUCGUAACA